AGUAUGGAGCUGGAUGCAGGCCUUGAUCCCAGGACCCUGAGAUCAUGACCUGAGCUGAAAUCAAGAGUCAGAGGCUUAACUGACUGAGCCACCCAAGUGUCCCUCCAAAUGUUAUCCUAAGAGUUUUGAAAGCAGGUCAGAAGCAGCGCUCAAUUUUUGAACUCUCAGAUCAGAAUCUACUAUCUUUCUACAGUUCCCCAACCAGUUCUCCUACUUGGUCAGUGUUAUGGGUUGAAAUAUGUCCCCCCAAAAAGAUAUGGUGAAGCCCUAAUCCCCAGUACCUCAGAAUGUAACCCUUCUUGGAAAUACGGUGUUUAUAGAGGUAAUCAAUUUAGACAGAGAUCAUAACCCUAUGAUAAUGAUAUCUUUAUCUCCAAAAAAGAAGAGAGAUUUGGACACAGGGACAGACAUGCCAUAGGAAGAAUGCUAUAUGAACUUGAAAGCAGAGAUGGGCUGAGCAUCUGCAAGCCAAUGAACACCAAAGAUUCAGAGCAAACACCCAGAAGCUAAGAGAGAGGCAUGGAACAGAUUCUUCCGCCCAGGCUUCAGAAGGAACCAGUUUUGCUGACACCUUGAACUUGAACUUCUAGCCUCUGGAACCGUGAGACAAUAUGUUUCUGUCGUGGGUUGGGAGGAAGGAGACACAUUCAGCCUCAAGGGCCAGAGAGAGCAUGAUGGUUUCUGGUGAGGGCAAGUAGCUGGAGGUGUGGGCAGGAGCAAGGGCUUCCCAGCCCCAUCAUGUCCCACCGGAGAUCUUGCCCUGACGAGACUAAAACUGACAGAUGGCUCCCACUGGCCAUUUGAGAGCACGUCCCCCGCCGGCCAAGCCCAGGGAAGAUUUAAUGUCUCUUCCACGCGACUCAACCAGCCUCACGAGCCGCAAAAAUCAUCUGGUACUGGUACUGGCUGGCUGGCAGCUUCCUGGCCCGAUGACGCUAACUGUUGGCGAUGGGACUCGGCCACCAGGCCCUGCAGCGCCCUCCCCAUCCCUGACCACCCAGGAUGUCCCGACCGGCGGCCUGCAAGGAAAUGAAUUCCUGGCUGGAGGGAAACAGCAAGAAGUUUCUAGCCGUCUAGAAUUCACAUGAACAACUCAAGAACUCCAGACUGGACAUGAGACUGGGCGUGAAAGCCCCUCCUCGGGUGCCAGGGAUUUGAACUUGCCUGUGAUGGACGUGAUCACCUGGACGGCUUCGCACAGGUGCGCUCUCGCACUGCCAGUUACACCUUCCCACUUAGAGGACUGUAUUACUCAGCACACAGGCAGCUACCAGGGAAAGCGGUGGCAGGAAGGGAAGGCGACCCUUUCCUCACUAAGCAAAGGAAGAGGUGUGAAUCUGGGGACCACAGUCUGGCCCUGAUUGAAGCCCACAGGCCCUGGAGAUGCUCUCACAGGAAGGAACUACUGGGGGAAUGGGACCCGGUGACCACGCCAGUUACAGAAGGAACCAUUCCAGUGUGACACAGCAGAAGACACAAGAGGAUGGGUGGCCAAAGGAGAGCCCAAGGAUAAGGCAACAUGACCGAGUGCAGACACAGGUUGAAGCCAGGCGCCUGAGCAGCUGCCACUGUCAGUGGAGCCGGAGACCUUCCAGCCCUGCGUGUCCGUGAAAAGCGACUGUUGGAGACCCAAGCCCCGACGUUCCAGGGCCUCGCCGGACCGUCAGCGCCCCUGCGCCCCAGGCUGGCUCGGCCGAGGCGGGGAAGCCCUCUGGUGGCCGCUGCCGAUGUGACAACAGGCUCCCAGGCUCGGUGCUGCGGGGACGGCGCUCCCCGUGAAGACACAGUCUGCGAAGUCCCUGCGGCCUAAAUGCACCCUCCCCGUCGCCCCCAGGCCUCACCAGGUCCCCGCAGACAGCUGUCCCCAGGCCCGCCGAGCUCUGUCUUCGCGCCCAGGCGGGGUGGGCCGCCGGGGACCCUGGCCCGGACACUCAGGGGAGGUCCCCCGAGCUCUCUGCUGAAGGCUUCCAGGCUCCGGUGGCGGCUCUCUGGUGGAGAUGGGCCAAAGGGACCCUUCCUGGAGAGGCACACCCGUCUCAGGACAGGUCGGGCAGCACUGGCACACACAGGCUGGAGCUGUCCCCUUCCCGGACCGUGCUGGUGCUGAGCCACUUUCUGGAGGUGUCCUUCCUCCAGGUACCCUGUUCCUCAAAGGUACCGCGCUCAGGAAAAGAUAGAGAACCACAAGUCUUCUGGGCAAAAGUUCCAGCAUCCACAGUCUGGCCUCGAACGUCCUUUCUAGCCUUAGAGUUAAGUAUAGUGUCCGGGUCAGGGGCUAGAAUUAGACGGCCUGGGCUAGAACCCCAGGUCCCCAACUUAUUGGCUAUGUAACUGUGUGGAAGGUUCUAAAUCCUUCGUUUCUAUGCAAGGUGGUUGAUAUUUUAUUUUUUUACUCUUUAUUUUUUUUAUUUAUAUAUAUAUUUUUUGGUGGUUGAUAUUUUAAUGAGGUAGCCUGUGUAUCGGCCUUAGCCUGGUGCUUGCCACACAGUCGGUGCCCAAUUGACGACAGCUGUCACUAGUACUCCUCGGUCAACAGGCCGACUGAUCUGCUCACAGGUCAGGCACAUGCUUGCACUUUCCAUCUCUGCACUUUGGCUUGUGACACUUUAUUUGCCUGGAAUGUCCUCUCCCUGUUCUCUAAUGUCAAGACCUCACCUGUUCUGCUGAGCCCAGCUCAAAUUUCUUCACCUGCUUAGGGAACUGAGCUAAUCCUGGACUUAGGAACCUCACGCGUUAUUGUGAGGGGAAACAAAUACUUUGUGAUAGUGCAGCGUAUAAACGUAUACGUGUGUGUCAUAGAAAAAUGUGCAUGGUAUUUUAUUGCUUGUACAAUCAUUCUACAAAAUUAGAUAAAGCCUUAUAAUGUGUAUUCCUGCAUUACCGGAAUAGUUACUCAAAUUGUUUUGACAUUUUA
Long non-coding RNA from Canis lupus familiaris (dog), 2914 nucleotides. RefSeq lists it as uncharacterized. The transcript is spliced from 6 exons. Lineage: Eukaryota; Metazoa; Chordata; Mammalia; Carnivora; Canidae. The record is from RefSeq and is a predicted model, not a curated record.